This 73-nucleotide transfer RNA is filed under the name Ailuropoda melanoleuca (giant panda). It matches the Rfam family "tRNA". Rfam says of the family: Transfer RNA (tRNA) molecules are approximately 80 nucleotides in length. Their secondary structure includes four short double-helical elements and three loops (D, anti-codon, and T loops). The record is from Rfam by way of RNAcentral. Lineage: Eukaryota; Metazoa; Chordata; Mammalia; Carnivora; Ursidae.
GCCUAGUUGGCUUAGCUGGUAAAGCAUGUGACUCUUGACCUUGGAGUUGUGAGUUCAAGCCUCAUGUUGGGUG